Molecule: ribosomal RNA, 495 nt
Filed under: uncultured bacterium
Lineage: Bacteria
Description: partial 16S ribosomal RNA
Rfam family: Bacterial small subunit ribosomal RNA
Source: RNAcentral
GAUGAACGCUAGCGGGAGGCCUAGCACAUGCAAGCCGAGCGGUAGAGCUUCUUCGGAAUCUUGAGAGCGGCGUACGGGUGCGGAACACGUGUGCAACCUGCCUUUAUCAGGGGGAUAGCCUUUCGAAAGGAAGAUUAAUACCCCAUAAUAUAUUGAAUGGCAUCAUUUGAUAUUGAAAACUCCGGUGGAUAGAGAUGGGCAUGCGCAAGAUUAGAUAGUUGGUGAGGUAACGGCUCACCAAGUCUACGAUCUUUAGGGGGCCUGAGAGGGUGAUCCCCCACACUGGUACUGAGACACGGACCAGACUCCUACGGGAGGCAGCAGUGAGGAAUAUUGGACAAUGGGUGCGAGCCUGAUCCAGCCAUCCCGCGUGAAGGACGACGGCCCUAUGGGUUGUAAACUUCUUUUGUAUAGGGAUAAACCUAGAUACGUGUAUCUAGCUGAAGGUACUAUACGAAUAAGCACCGGCUAACUCCGUGCCAGCAGCCGCGGUAA